Molecule: long non-coding RNA, 1345 nt
Organism: Vespa velutina
Lineage: Eukaryota; Metazoa; Arthropoda; Insecta; Hymenoptera; Vespidae
Exons: 4
Source: RefSeq, a predicted model, not a curated record
AUCAAUGCAAAGUAAUGCCGCUUUCCCACGAGGGCGUGAACCAAGAAGGUGAAUUACACUUUUGUGGAUUACGACUUGUAUGAGCAUGCUAUCGUGAAGAUUGCCUGUGACGUUAAUACCUCCACGACUCAGUCGUGACUGAGGAUCAAACCGGUUUGAAUUUCAAUCGUGGCAGUAGCACGCGUGGAACAAAAUAUCUACGCAGCGUUUUCGGUUUUGUCAGACGGGUUUUGUUGGAUUUGAUCAGACGGAAUCAGUAUUUUAUAAUCCGAUAUUUAAUGAAUACAGGGAUUGUGAUAUACGAGCAUCAGCAAGAGUUUAACGAAUUUCGGAGACUUUAAGUACAAAAGAAGUAAUUAAAAAAUUUGUAAACUUGAGAAGUUCGUAUUGCCAAGAAUUAAAGAAGAUCAAGGAUAGUCAAAGGCCAGGAAAAUCUACAAAUGAUGGCCAUAAACCAAACAAUAGUGUAGUUUACGAAGAUGAAUUCCUUCAUUCAUCCUUUUGUAUAAUGAAGAGAAAUUAUUAUUAUUACACUUUAAUAUUUGAUAUUAAUACGGAUAAUCUCUUACAAUAAUCGAAUUAGAGGUUCGCUCCAACGUCGGUAUAUCGGAAGCAAUAAUUACUAUCAACCAAAGCAAGCAAUACGAUAUUGUAACUGUUCUUAAUAUUGCCUGAGCCACUUAAAGGAGAUUUUAUGACGAUGUAUUUUCCAUCGAGAGUUUCUAUGUAUUCUGGAAAAUUCUAAUGCGUUUUGAAUCCAUAUUCAAUAUUUUUCUUAUAUUCUUGUAUCAUCGGUACUUGAAAAAAUUAUUUGUGUUCUCAUAUGUUGCAAAGAAAUAAUACUGAAAUUGAAGUUAAUCAAGAAAAGGACAAAUGAUAGUGAGAAAUAUUGUUAAUGAUGAGACUUUUUCUCACAAAAAAGAAAAAAAGCAGAAGAGAAGAAGAAUAGCUAGAAUCAUUUCGGCAAAUAUUAGGAUCGUUAUUGCGAAUCAUCGAAUUUCCAAAUGCAACAAUGAAUUAUAAUUUUGUUUGUAAACAGAAUGUGUACAUCAACUAUUCAAUAUCAAUAUAAUAACUCAUCUGUACCAAAUUUAUAUGUUAUGCAAUGAAGCUUCUGAAUAUAUUUAUUCAUCUUCGAAUGAAUUAACCUUAAUUUAUUCAAAGGUAAUUAAUAUAUAUUAAUUAAUCUUUAAUUAUAUCUAUAACUAAUCUAUAAAUUCUACAGGAAAUAAUUGUAUUUUCUUAUUUAUUAUUUUAAUGUCAAUACAUAUAUAAUAUUACUUAACAUGUAAUACAUAAUGUAAUUUGUUUAGUUAUAUAAUUUAUUAUUUAAAUAAUAACAAAA